Cyprinus carpio (common carp) is the source of this 1920-nucleotide long non-coding RNA. Lineage: Eukaryota; Metazoa; Chordata; Actinopteri; Cypriniformes; Cyprinidae. The record is from Ensembl.
CCAAAGGCUGUGAAAACCUCCUUUUGGAGCCUUUACUUUUAAGAGUGCAUUAUGAGAGUUGAGAGUUGUUAGUAAAAAAGGUUUUAACCUAAUAGGUAGGUGUCACGGUGUCUGGUUUGUGUAUCCCUGGGUGUCCACUAGAGGUCUCACUUCCCCUUAUUGUCACCCCACUUUAGAACUGCAUUUCCCAUAGUCCUGUCUGUUUCAUCACUGCUCAUUGCACUCAGCUGUCCCUGGUCAUUAAUCAUUGCACUCAGCCAGUUCCUCGUUAGUAUUGUAAUCACCUGUCUAUAUAUACCUGGUUUGUUUCUGUCUGUGUCACGGAGUCCUUGUUUAAUGUUGAGUAUUAUUCUUAUCCGUCUACUCUUGCCUUGUGUUCGUGUCAUAUUUAUGUUGUUUGGAUUAUGUUUGGUUUUGACCCCUGCCUGGACUGUUUACCCUUUUGGAUUAUCCCUAAAUAAACGACUUACCUGCAAUUGGUUCUAUCACCGAUGUGUCAUUGGAUCCGUGCCGUGACAGAAGGACUCCGUCAACAUGAGAACCAGCGGUAUGUCUGCCCAGAUCUCAUCCCCAGCCACAGAGCGGGAGAGAGGCGGUUUUGAGGGAACUCGCCUGGUGAUUUUCCGGGGGACCAGGGGAGGUCGCCGAGGAGGGAGUGGCCGAGAGGAGAUUCAGCAUCGCUCUCAACCAUGGCCCCCCUUUGACCCGGGACUCCUAUGGAAUGGGUCAGAGCCACCAUCUCACCAUGGCGAGCGGAGAGGUGAGAGGAAGCACACGCCCGCCAUGGUGGCGCCACUGCCCAUGAUGGCCACCAGCUCAGAGCCUACGCCCAAGAUGGCCGCUGACUCAUUCUUGGAGUAUUUCUCCAGGCUGUCACAGACCCUGGAGGUUCCCAAGACUGUUCACAUCAAAGCUGCUGAGCCAGCGCCACAGCACAAGAUGGCCGCCAGCCCAGCGCCACAGCACAAGAUGGCCGCCAGCCCAGCGCCACAGCACGAGAGGGCCGCCAGCCCAGCACCACAGCACGAGAGGGCCGCCAGCCCAGCACCACUGCACAAGAUGGCCGAAUCUACACCUGUGUUGGCAGACAAGAUGGCUGACUCAACGCCCGAGUCUUCCGUCAAGGAGCCACCGGCACGCCAUCAUAGAGGUCGCAGGAGGAGGAGACAGGCGUCAGCCGUUCCUCAAAGCCAGGAGGACGUUCCCGAGCAGGCCGCUGCCGUCCAGAAGGACGUUCCCGAGCAGGCCGCUGCCGUCCAGGGGGACGUUCCCGAGCAGGCCGCUGCCGUCCAGGGGGACGUUCCCGAGCAGGCCGCUGCCGUCCAGGAGGACGUUCCCGAGCAGGCCGCUGCCGUCCAGGAGGACGUUCCCGAGCAGGCCGCUGCCGUCCAGGAGGACGUUCCCGAGCAGGCCGCUGCCGUCCAGGAGGACGUUCCCGAGCAGGCCGCUGCCGUCCAGGAGGACGUUCCCGAGCAGGCCGCUGCCGUCCAGGAGGACGUUCCCGAGCAGGCCGCUGCCGUCCAGGAGGACGUUCCCGAGCAGGCCGCUGCCGUCCAGGAGGACGUUCCCGAGCAGGCCGCUGCCGUCCAGGAGGACGUUCCCGAGCAGGCCGCUGCCGUCCAGGAGGACGUUCCCGAGCAGGCCGCUGCCGUCCAGGAGGACGUUCCCGAGCAGGCCGCUGCCGUCCAGGAGGACGUUCCCGAGCAGGCCGCUGCCGUCCAGGAGGACGUUCCCGAGCAGGCCGCUGCCGUCCAGGAGGACGAUCCCGAGCAGGCCGCUGUCGUCCAGGUGGACGUGCCCAAGGUUCCCGAGGCGGUGCCUGAUGCCGAAGCGGUGCCCGAUGUUGUUCCCGAUGUCGAGGCGGUGCCCGAUGUUGUUCCGGUGCCCGAGCAGGCCGCGGCCGUCCACGAGGCCCCCACA